RNAcentral lists this unclassified non-coding RNA (380 nucleotides) under uncultured Phaeococcomyces. RNAcentral's name for it is "sequence contains ITS2". The stretch from base 1 to 155 matches the Rfam family "5.8S ribosomal RNA". Lineage: Eukaryota; Fungi; Ascomycota; Eurotiomycetes; Chaetothyriales; Herpotrichiellaceae. The record is from RNAcentral.
AACUUUUAGCAAUGGAUCACUUGGCUCUGGCAUCGAUGAAGAACGCAGCGAAAUGCGAUAAGUAAUGCGAAUUGCAGAAUUUCCGUGAGUCAUCGAAUCUUUGAACGCACAUUGCGCCCACUGGUAUUCCGGUGGGCAUGCCUGUUCGAGCGUCAUUAUCCUCCCUCAAACCCCGGGUUUGGUGUUGGACCCAAGUUGUGUGAACAACUGGUCUUAAAGACAAUGACGGCGUCCGUGGGACCCUCGGUGCAACGAGCUUUUAGGAGCACGCGCCGAGUUGUAAGGACCUUCCGGGCCGGUCUCCUUUACUAUUUUACAAGGUUGACCUCGGAUCAGGUAGGAAUACCCGCUGAACUUAAGCAUAUCAAUAAGCGGAGGCU